RNAcentral lists this ribosomal RNA (1187 nucleotides) under uncultured bacterium. RNAcentral's name for it is "bacterial SSU rRNA". It matches the Rfam family "Bacterial small subunit ribosomal RNA", at positions 101 to 1311 of the family's 1533-position model. The record is from RNAcentral.
AACGGGUGAGGAACACGUGAGGAAUCUGCCCAUCAUUUGGGAUAACACCGGGAAACCGGUGCUAAUACCGAAUACUCCGUCUUGGCGGCAUCGCUAAGCCGGGAAAGAAUUUCGAUGAUGGAUGAUCUCGCGGCCUAUCAGCUAGUUGGUGAGGUAACGGCUCACCAAGGCAACGACGGGUAGCCGGCCUGAGAGGGCGACGGGCCACACUGGGACUGAGACACGGCCCAGACUCCUACGGGAGGCAGCAGUAGGGAAUAUUGGGCAAUGGGCGCAAGCCUGACCCAGCGACGCCGCGUGAGGGAUGAAGGUCUUCGGAUUGUAAACCUCUUUCAGUAGGGAAGAAGCGACAGUGACGGUACCUAAAGAAGAAGCACCGGCUAACUAUGUGCCCACCCCGCGGUAAUACAUAGGGUGCAGGCGUUGUCCGGAAUUAUUGGGCGUAAGAGCUUCGUAGUUCGUUAAUCACGUCGGAUGUGAAAAUCUGAGGCUCAACCCAGACCGCAUUCGAUACGGGUUAACUAGAGUGUGGUAGGGGAGACUGGAAUUCCUGGUGUAGCGGUGGAAUGCGCAGAUAUCAGGAGGAACACCUACGGCGAAGGCAGGUCUCUGGGCCAUUACUGACACUGAGGAGCGAAAGUUCGGGGAGCGAACAGGAUUAGAUACCCUGGUAGUCCGAACCGUAAACGGUGGACGCUAGUUGUGGGAACCUUCCACGGUUUCCGCGACGCAGCUAACGCAUUAAGCGUCCCGCCUGGGGAGUACGAUCGCAAGAUUAAAACUCAAAGGAAUUGACGGGGCCCCGCACAAGCAGCGGAGCAUGCGGCUUAAUUCGACGCAACGCGAAGAACCUUACCAAGGCUUGACAUAUAGAGAAAAGUGGCAGAGAUGUCGUGUCCGCAAGGGCUCUAUACAGGUGGUGCAUGGUUGUCGUCAGCUCGUGUCGUGAGAUGUUGGGUUAAGUCCCGCAACGAGCGCAACCCUCGUUCUGUGUUACCAGCAUUUAGUUGGGGACUCACAGGAGACUGCCGGGGUCAACUCGGAGGAAGGUGGGGAUGACGUCAAAUCAUCAUGCCCCUUAUGUCUUGGGCUGCACGCAUGCUACAAUGGCUGGUACAAAGUGCUGCAAUACCGCAAGGUUGAGCGAAUCACAUAAAGCCAGUCUCAGUUCGGAUUGGGGUCUCAAC